GGACCCGCACAAGUAGCGGAGCAUGUGGUUUAAUUCGAAGCAACGCGAAGAACCUUACCUAAGCUUGACAUCCUUUUGACCUCUCCCUAAUCGGAGAUUUCCCUUCGGGGACAGAAGUGACAGGUGGUGCAUGGUUGUCGUCAGCUCGUGUCGUGAGAUGUUGGGUUAAGUCCCGCAACGAGCGCAACCCUUGUCUUUAGUUGCCAGCAUUAAGUUGGGCACUCUAGAGAGACUGCCAGGGAUAACCUGGAGGAAGGUGGGGAUGACGUCAAAUCAUCAUGCCCCUUAUGCUUAGGGCUACACACGUGCUACAAUGGGUGGUACAGAGGGCAGCCAAGUCGUGAGGCGGAGCUAAUCCCUUAAAGCCAUUCUCAGUUCGGAUUGUAGGCUGAAACUCGCCUACAUGAAGCUGGAGUUUACUAGUAAUCGCAGAUCAGAAUGCUG
Molecule: ribosomal RNA, 444 nt
Filed under: uncultured Bacillota bacterium
Lineage: Bacteria; Bacillati; Bacillota
Description: bacterial SSU rRNA
Rfam family: Bacterial small subunit ribosomal RNA
Source: RNAcentral